Non-coding RNA from Megalops cyprinoides (Indo-Pacific tarpon), 1415 nucleotides. NCBI's taxonomy places the organism in Eukaryota, Metazoa, Chordata, Actinopteri, Elopiformes, Megalopidae. The record is from the annotation of a RefSeq genome assembly.
CACAGCAUUUAUGGGGCAAUGUGAAGAUGUGAACGAGUGCCUAGAGAAGAGUGAUUUCUGUGGCCCCAACGCCAAGUGCAAGAACAGAAUCGGAUCCCACAACUGCUCCUGCCUUGAGGGUUACGUCUCAAGCAACGGAGAGAAAUAUUUUGAUGGCACCACAGGAGUGACGUGCAAAGAACUCAGGUCCCCAGCCGUGACAUUGCUGCCAGUGUCCACCGACUCUCUUAUCUGUGUCAUACGGGACUUCUACCCCAAUACGCUGACAGUGACUUGGAAAGUGGGGGGCAGCGUUGUGACAGGAUUGUCCCACACCUGGCAAACGGAGACAGAAGGCGAGGGAGCGUACUCAGCCAGCAGCAUUCUGAAGCUGGACAGGGCCACCUGGGACAGCAACGCCGAGUACACCUGUGAAGUGGAGCAUCAGCAGGAAGUCUUCAGCGACACGGUUUACAAAUAUAAGCCUGGGCUGGAGGUGACCCUGAAGCUCCCAAGGGUGAGAGAGAUGUUCAUUAACAACCAGGCUGUGCUGGACUGUAACAUCAUUGGGGAAGAACAGGCAGCAGUUACCGCAGCAACGGUGACCUGGAGACUGGAUGGAACCGUUGUGAGGAAUGGAAUUACCACACCAAGCGUUGCAGAGCAUGACGGCCAUCUGUACAGAAAGACCAGCACUCUCACUGUGGGGCAGAAGGACUGGUUUGAUGGGAAAUGGAUUCAGUGCUCUGUCCAGCAGAGGCCUGACAAACCUACCAUCAGCAAGGCUGUGGGAAUGGAACGAGGAGCUAAAGCUCCUCCCACUUUGCUCAUCCUCUCGCCGACUGACAGAGGGACAGGGAGAUGGACGAACGUCACGCUGGUGUGUCUGGCAACCGGCUUCUCCCCCCGCGACAUUUACAUCAUGUGGCGCGUGGAUGACGGGGAGUAUCGGGAGGGUGUGACGGGCGAACCCGUGAGGGCUAGCGACGGCACCUACUCCGUCACCAGCCUGCUGGAGGUCACGGCGUCGCAGUGGGCGAAGUCGCGGUUCAUCUGCGCCGCAAAGCACGCCAGCACGGAAGAAGCUUCAUCCCCCAUGCGCACGGCUGUGUUCAGAAAAACAGCCGUCUUACAGUGUGACUGACACCUCACCCUGUGACACAAAAACCACUGUGGCACCGGUCGUGUUAAAUGAGGCAACCCUGACCUUUCAUCAUGCUUUUGCACUAUCCGCCAAUUGGAUUGCAAUUCUCUACCGCUCCACAUCAAAAUCAAAGUGGAAUCCUACAGGGGAAAAAAAAAUCUAUGAUGAACCAUUACAUAACUUAAUACAAUGUAUUUCUGUGAUCUUGUAGGUGUCUGUUUUUUAUUGUUUUCCAUAAAAAACAUCAAUCUAUGGUCACUUCAUGCACUCAUCAAUCAUGCACUUUUAUCUC